CUUGCCAGUCAGUUUGUUACAUCCCUCAAAUUCCUGUGGGACACUUUUAAGGCAAAGCCCAGCAACAUGGAAGAAUUGGAAGCUAAUUCCUCAACUCCGAAGCCUCCUCUACUUGAAAAUUACGAAGGGGACAAUCGCGGUCCUUCGCGAGACAAUGCGUGCGCAAAAGCGAAGCAACGGCCAGAACUUGGUCGGCCAAAAGCUCCGAAACAUGUUCCUCCGAGACCUGAUGAAUUGUGCUCCGUCGAAUUAGAAGCCAAACUUUACUGAAAUCCUGGAGCUGAUCAACAAGUUGAGUCGUGACAAACUUCAGAUUACCGAAAAAUUAGAUCAAGUGAUGUUUGAAAGGACAGAAAUUGUCCACGCAUUAGAAGAGCUGAAUUAUGAUGAAAGGAGA
This is a long non-coding RNA of Morus notabilis, 397 nucleotides long. RefSeq lists it as uncharacterized. The record is from RefSeq and is a predicted model, not a curated record. Lineage: Eukaryota; Viridiplantae; Streptophyta; Magnoliopsida; Rosales; Moraceae. The transcript is spliced from 3 exons.